Molecule: ribosomal RNA, 425 nt
Filed under: uncultured bacterium
Lineage: Bacteria
Description: bacterial SSU rRNA
Rfam family: Bacterial small subunit ribosomal RNA
Source: RNAcentral
UGGGGAAUUUUGCGCAAUGGGCUAACGCCUGACGCAGCAACGCCGCGUGGAGGAUGAAGGUCUUUGGAUUGUAAACUCCUGUCAGCAGGGAAAAAGCGAGUCGACCUAAUACGUCGGUGAGUUGAUUGUACCUGCAGAGGAAGCCCCGGCUAACUCUGUGCCAGCAGCCGCGGUAAGACAGAGGUGCCAAGCGUUAGGCGGAAUCACUGGGCUUAAAGCGUGUGUAGGCGGAUCGUUAAGUACCUUGUGAAAUCCCACGGCUCAACCGUGGAACUGCUCGGUAUACUGGCGAUCUUGAGCCACCUAGGGGCAACUGGAACAAGCGGUGGAGCGGUGAAAUGCGUAGAUAUCGCUUGGAACGCCAACGGUGAAAACAGGUUGCUGGGGGUGUGCUGACGCUGAGACACGAAAGCCAGGGGAGCGAA